AAUGAAUGAUACCUUUGGCAAACGCCCAGAUGUUAAAGAAAUCCUUCCUAUGGAAUCGGGCACAUUUCUUUUUUUUCUCGCCCGUUGAUCCUUCGGCCAACAUUUAUUCGUUCGCAUGUUUAUUUGUCGGUGGUCAAAGCGAGACGACCAGGCUGAGCAUGAGGGAGGGGCCAAAUGCAUCAUCAGUCUCGAGUCCCCUUGUGUCCUCAAGAGAACUAAAUCCAGCCCACCUUGAAUUCCAUUGACUCUUAUCUACCACCAAUUUGCUUUGACCGUUAGUAGUUCAGAUUCUUGUAGGGAGCUUAAGCUUUCAAUAAAUCGUUUGAACUGCCUG
Pantherophis guttatus is the source of this 334-nucleotide non-coding RNA. Lineage: Eukaryota; Metazoa; Chordata; Lepidosauria; Squamata; Colubridae. The record is from RefSeq and is a predicted model, not a curated record.